Herpailurus yagouaroundi (jaguarundi) is the source of this 1351-nucleotide RNA transcript. It is a transcript of the gene named chromosome unknown C3orf80 homolog, with no coding region annotated. The transcript has 2 exons. The record is from RefSeq and is a predicted model, not a curated record. Lineage: Eukaryota; Metazoa; Chordata; Mammalia; Carnivora; Felidae.
AGCUCAGGAAGCCGCUCCGGCUGCGAGGAGAGGCCGCCUCCCGCAGCCUCUGCGCGCCUUGGGCUCCUCCUUCCGCCCAAGCGUGGCCAAGUGAGUACUGCUCCGGCCGCAGGUAGCCGAGGCGCGGGAGGCGGCGCGCUGGACCCAGAGGAGCGCCCGGGGAGGGGCCGACGGACACGCGGACAGACGGAUUCCCCCAACCCCCGCCCGGGACAUUAGCAACGGUCUGCGCGGGCCAUGUGGGGGCCCGGGGUCACAGCCGAGGGCCUGUCGGUGGCGCCCGCACCGCCGCCGCUGCUGCCGCUGCUGCUACUGCUGACGCUGGCGCUCGUGGCGCCCUCGCGGGGCGGCGGGGGCUGCGCGGACCUGGCGUGUGGCGAGCGGGAGCGCUGCUGCGACGCGGCCAACGCCACAGCGGUGCGCUGCUGCAAGCUGCCGCUGCACGCCUUCCUCGACAACGUGGGCUGGUUCGUCCGCAAGCUCUCGGGGCUGCUUAUCCUGCUAGUGCUCUUCGCCAUCGGCUACUUCCUGCAGCGCAUCAUCUGCCCCAGCCCACGCAGGUACCCGCGCGGUCAGGCGCGGCCCGGGCAAGCACGGCCCGGGCCGCCGGGGGGCGCGGGGCCGCAGGGGGCCGCGGGGCCGCCCGACGACGACGACGACUCUCCCGCGCUAAUGCGCGACGAGGCGGCCGCCGGCUCCCAGGACUCACUGCUGGACAGUGGAGGCGGGGGCCGGGGAGGCGGAGGGCGCUCGGCCCCCUCCUGCGCCUCCGAGCACGAGCUUCGCGUAGUCUCGCCGGUCUUCCUGCAGCUGCCCAGCUACGAGGAGGUCAAGUACCUGCCCACCUACGAGGAGUCCAUGCGGCUGCAGCAGCUCAGCCCCGGGGAGGUCGUGCUGCCCGUGUCGGUGCUUGGCCGCCCACGAGGCGGCGGCGCCGGGGAGUCAGACGGCGGGGAGGGCCGCUUCCCGCUCAUCUGAGCGUCUACGGCCGCUCGAGGACCGCGCGGACAGAACGGGGCUAGGUGGGCUGCGGGUGGGACGCAACGGCCGAGGUGGUACCUGCCACCGCCAACUGCCUCAGACCCCGCCUGGUACCCGGGCCGAAUCGCCCGUCGCUCGGCGACUGGGCUGGAGUCACUCCCGUUUCCCCCCCCCCCCCCCCCCCGUUCCCCCCCCCCCCCCCCCCCCCCGAGAUCUUAAGUUUCCCUACGUUUCAUUCGGUUCAAGGAAACGUUAGGCGCGCGCGGCUGGGGCCACAGCAGCGGACAACCCAGGAGCGCAACUUCGAAGACCGUCCCUACCCUCAGCCUCUGCUCAGACUGUGUUCACUCAUUGAAAGAAACAAUGAUGA